Molecule: ribosomal RNA, 253 nt
Filed under: uncultured bacterium
Lineage: Bacteria
Description: partial 16S ribosomal RNA
Rfam family: Bacterial small subunit ribosomal RNA
Source: RNAcentral
UACGUAGGUGGCAAGCGUUGUCCGGAAUUAUUGGGCGUAAAGCGCGCGCAGGCGGUCCUUUAAGUCUGAUGUGAAAGCCCACGGCUCAACCGUGGAGGGUCAUUGGAAACUGGGGGACUUGAGUACAGGAGAGAAAAGUGGAAUUCCACGUGUAGCGGUGAAAUGCGUAGAGAUGUGGAGGAACACCAGUGGCGAAGGCGACUUUUUGGCCUGUAACUGACGCUGAGGCGCGAAAGCGUGGGGAGCAAACAGG